This 414-nucleotide long non-coding RNA is filed under the name Phoenix dactylifera (date palm). RNAcentral describes it as "long non-coding RNA (PDAC_LNC020073)". Lineage: Eukaryota; Viridiplantae; Streptophyta; Magnoliopsida; Arecales; Arecaceae. The record is from RNAcentral.
GUUUCUUUAUAAUUAUAUAUUCUUAAUUUUUUGAGUUUCUUAUUGGAAAGCUUAAAUUAUGGUCAAAUAUGUAAUAUUCCAACAUGAACAGACUGUUCCUUUGCAUUUGUAUUAUUUUCUAAUUUAGUUAGUACAUAUUCCUAAGGUAGUAAAGUCUACUAGAACAUGCCCUCAUUGUGCUGAUCUCAUGGUCUAGCAUGGAAAACACAAUUAAAGUCUUUCUGGAUACCUCAAUUGCUUACAUAAUAUAAUGUAGGGCUUUUCCAACUCUCAAUGGAUGAAUGACUCAGAACAUGGCUUAGGAAGAGUUUUGCUUCGGUGCAUAUUAAUCAAAUUCCAGCCCUUAAGGAUAAAAUGGGUAUUUAACCCAUAAAUCAGUUCAGCCUGUUAACACUAGGAAGAUUGGAUUAGCUC